Molecule: ribosomal RNA, 735 nt
Filed under: Triticum aestivum (bread wheat)
Lineage: Eukaryota; Viridiplantae; Streptophyta; Magnoliopsida; Poales; Poaceae
Description: partial small subunit ribosomal RNA
Source: RNAcentral
AUGGCGUCCCUCGCGUUGAUGCCGAGCUGGUUCCGCCGCCGCGCGCACGUCCCGUCCCCGGAGGAAGCGCGCGAGAUCGAGAGGAGGAAGAGAAAGGAAGAGUACGAUCAGCUGAUCGCUUCGCUGAGGCCGCGACCACGCACAUGGCGGAGUCGUCGGAGGGAUCGCCGGGAAGCGCUGGCUAACGAGGCCGCAAAGCGGGAGUGGGUCGAUGAGCAGAAACGGCUGAUCGCGGAGGCGAAGCAGCGAUCAGGCGGCGUCCCACAUCCCUGUUGGAACGAUGACGCGCGAGACAGACACAGACGCAGGAUGCGGGCGGCAGUGGAGGAACUAUCGGCGGCUUACGAGGCCAAGAAGAGCCAAUGGAUGGCCGCGCAUAAGCGAUCGGGGCUCGAGGAAGAUCGGCGGGGCAGCACCGCCGUGAAGGUUCACCCCCUCGUGUCCACGGAGGCGCCUUUGAAGCCCGUAACCGCCGCCGGGAAGAGCAGCGCGGCAGGGGGCAGCGAGUCCGGCCACCGGGUGGAGAUGCACGAGGCGAAGGCCAUCGAGCAGAAGCACCUGUGGGGAGGCCGCCGCCGCAGCGAUGAGUACUAUGCCAUGCGCCGGGAGGUACUGAGGAGAGACCGUGCCGCUCUCGACGAGAUUACGGAGCCGCAAUCUGCAUGCGCAACGAGGAAGAAGGAAGAAGAUCGUAUCUGUCCGUUCUGUUCUCGGCUUCUCGCAGACAGGAGAUAG